Molecule: microRNA, 21 nt
Filed under: Physcomitrium patens
Lineage: Eukaryota; Viridiplantae; Streptophyta; Bryopsida; Funariales; Funariaceae
Description: ppt-miR1023e-3p
Source: miRBase by way of RNAcentral
AGGGAAUCGGGUGGAGUGCAU